AGGAAAGAGUGACAGCUGAAGACAUAAUUUGACAUCUGAAAUUAGCUAUGCACAUGUUAGUUUUUAUUUUACAAAAGCGACAGACAAGACCAAGUUCCAAAGGGGAAGUACCAGGGAUUUUUCUUUGGAAUUAUUGAUAGCUAAUGGACUCUCAUUCAUCAAAAACUUUAAGAAAAUUGUCUGAGUGGACUGAACAUAAUUUUGUUUGUAAGAAGAAUGUGAUGUACUGGUAUAUAGAUCACAAGCAAAGGUGUUGUGUAUUAAUUGCUAAUACAUGCUAAUCUGUAACUGAUAAAAAAUGAAUAUUGUGUUAUUAGAUUCAUGUUAUUUUAUCUUCCACAAUAUUUUUGGUUGCUAUUAUAUGAUGACGUUAACUGAUAAAAAAUCAAUAUUAUAUUGUGUUACUGAAUAAUAUUUUUAUAGGGUGAUGAAACUGUUUCUGGAUGCUUUGUUUAAAAAAAAAUACUUUGGUACAUUGAAAACUUGAAACAAAAAAAAGAAAGCUAUCUCAAUUGGCUACUGUCAAAAUAAAUGCAGAUCAAUGGCCUGUCAACUCUUUCUCUCUUAAUCCACAAUACCAUUGUUAAUUAUGAUGUAUGCUGUGUGAAACGGAAAGUGACCUCAAGACAAUUAAAUGUUUUAUAUAUGUUAUAUAUUAAGUUUUGUGAAAAUAUAAAUAACUAUCAUAAAAAAAAAUACUUUUAGUUCACUUUGGAUCAUAAAAUAUUACCUAGAUAUAGUUUCAAAGAGAGUUGUCCACAGUCAGUAAGUUUUUAUUUUUAAAUUCCAUUUUCCAAAUUUAACUUUUAUUUUGGUUUUAUAAACAUUUGUUUUAUCUUAUUAUUCCCCUUUAAUUCUAAACCAAAUAUAAUAUUUUCUGAUAACAAACAAAUAAAACUUAUCAAAGUAUAAUCAUAAGAGGGUAGUGAAAUACAUAUGAGCAAAAUGAAUAAUUCCGUGGGAACUUGGAAAAUAAUUAGGGAGAGUUAAAUUGGUCAAUGGGAGUUGAAAGAAUAAUAUCAAAUAAAAUAUGAGAAUAUAACUUUGGAACAAUAACUCUUACACUGUAAUUACCAGUAGCUGUAGUCAUCAAACACUGAUUCCAUUUGGCAGUAAGAUAAUAUCGGAGCCGGCUGUUGGGGAUUCCAAAUUGUAAUGGAGUCAGUAGAAACUCCUGAUAAGUGUAAUUACAAUAUUUCAAACACUCAAUCAGCUGACCUCUAGUCUCUGAUGUCUCAAACCCUUUGACAUUUUCUACAAGAAUGUACACAGGUUUUACUUUUAUCCUGGCAUAAAAUAAGAAAAAACACAUUUUAAUACAUCACCAGGUGAAACAUUGAAAAACUCCUACCUUAAAAAAAAGUAAGCAGAGAACAUACUGGUGGAUCCCUUAUAUGAAUUUUAAAAAUGUUAAUGUAGAAUAUUAUUUAUGCUGGUAUAUUAUAUAUUAUUUAUAUAUUAUAUAUCAUUUAUUAUUAAAUAAUAUUUACUAUUGUUGAAUUUUGAACAGCAUUUGAAGCACAUUCUAUUCAUAUAAAACCAAGUGUAAAAAAAUCAGAUAAUUCAUGUACAUAAAUCAUUAUGUGCCUACGAAAUAUCUUAUGAGAAACAUAAAAGUGUAUAAAUAGAAGUGUAGAAGUACAGAAAUGUGUUUUUAUUAAAGAAGAGCAGGCCUAAAAAAAGAAAAAUAGAUGACUAGUCUCAAAAGUACCAGUAGUAAAAUGCCUAGAAAGGAAACCAUAAAAACAGGAGAUUUUCAAUAAGUUAUGUUGCAACAAUUGAUAAGAUAAGUUUUAUUGAUCCAAUCAAAUGGAAAUUCGGUUUGACAACAAUUGACAACCUCAAUGUAACUACUGUACAAUAACAAUAUAGAUGCACAAUAUAGAUGCACAUACGAACGACAUUCGCACACGUAAAACACAUACACACUCAUAAUCAGCGCUUUAUAAAUAGACUUCUAUGUACUUCUCGAUGACGACAGAAUGUUAAUUUUUAAUGUUGGUCAUCCAGGGUCUAUUAUUACUGAAUGUUUUAAUUUUCUAGUUUGGUACAAUAAUGUUUUUACGAAACUGGAUGUAGGAAUUAACAGUUGUGGUAAGUUCAUCUGUCUGGGCAGUUGUUUACAAAUAUGUCCCAAUCUGUUUGCUCCGGACAACUUUGUAGCUGUAAAACAGCGUCGUCAGACCAUGACUGGAUGGACUGUACUUCAGGUUUUGUUUUUAAAACCGGUUUGUACGUGGAUGUAAGAUGGAUCAUUGUGUGGUCUGACUCUCCAAGGGGAAAUAACGAUCGAGAUGUAUAGGCCAUUUUUAUGUUGCUAUAACACAUGUCCAAGGUUUUAUCGUGCCGGGUGAGACAAUUAACAUAUUGAGUAUAUGUUUUAGUACAUGUGAUGUGAUAUUCUAUAUCACUUGUCAUUCUUUCUAUUUAAAUGUGUUUGUAACUUAUUAUGAGAAUGUGCUCAUGUUAGAUAUAUGUAAUGUGCUGGUUCAUUAAGUAUAUUAAGUCAUGCAAGACAGA
Biomphalaria glabrata is the source of this 2520-nucleotide long non-coding RNA. RefSeq lists it as uncharacterized. The record is from RefSeq and is a predicted model, not a curated record. Lineage: Eukaryota; Metazoa; Mollusca; Gastropoda; Planorbidae. The transcript has 2 exons.